RNAcentral lists this ribosomal RNA (880 nucleotides) under Halomonas sp. D01. RNAcentral describes it as "bacterial SSU rRNA". It matches the Rfam family "Bacterial small subunit ribosomal RNA", at positions 33 to 912 of the family's 1533-position model. The record is from RNAcentral. Lineage: Bacteria; Pseudomonadati; Pseudomonadota; Gammaproteobacteria; Oceanospirillales; Halomonadaceae.
ACCUUUGCUGCGGGCUACACAUGCAGUCGAGCGGCAGCGGGUCCUUCGGGAUGCCGGCGAGCGGCGGACGGGUGAGUAAAGCAUGGGAAUCUGCCCGGUAGUGGGGGAUAACUCGGGGAAACCCGAGCUAAUACCGCAUACGUCCUACGGGAGAAAGCAGGGGAUCUUCGGACCUUGCGCUAUCGGAUGAGCCCAUGUCGGAUUAGCUUGUUGGUGAGGUAACGGCUCACCAAGGCAACGAUCCGUAGCUGGUCUGAGAGGAUGAUCAGCCACACCGGGACUGAGACACGGCCCGGACUCCUACGGGAGGCAGCAGUGGGGAAUAUUGGACAAUGGGGGAAACCCUGAUCCAGCCAUGCCGCGUGUGUGAAGAAGGCCCUAGGGUUGUAAAGCACUUUCAGUGGGGAAGAAGGCAUGACGAUUAAUACCCGUCAUGAAGGACAUCACCCACAGAAGAAGCACCGGCUAACUCCGUGCCAGCAGCCGCGGUAAUACGGAGGGUGCAAGCGUUAAUCGGAAUUACUGGGCGUAAAGGGCGCGUAGGCGGCUUGCCAAGCCGGAUGUGAAAGCCCCGGGCUCAACCCGGGAACGGCAUUCGGAACUGGCAGGCUAGAGUGCAGGAGAGGAAGGUGGAAUUCCCGGUGUAGCGGUGAAAUGCGUAGAGAUCGGGAGGAAUACCAGUGGCGAAGGCGGCCUUCUGGACUGACACUGACGCUGAGGCGCGAAAGCGUGGGUAGCAAACAGGAUUAGAUACCCUGGUAGUCCACGCCGUGAACGAUGUCGACCAGCCGUUGGACCCCUUGAGGGUUUGGUGGCGCAGUUAACGCAAUAAGUCGACCGCCUGGGGAGUACGGCCGCAAGGCUAAACUCAAAUGAAUUG